This 249-nucleotide ribosomal RNA is filed under the name uncultured Bacilli bacterium. RNAcentral's name for it is "partial 16S ribosomal RNA". It matches the Rfam family "Bacterial small subunit ribosomal RNA", at positions 524 to 773 of the family's 1533-position model. The record is from RNAcentral. Lineage: Bacteria; Bacillati; Bacillota; Bacilli.
UACGUAGGGGGCGAGCGUUGUCCGGAAUUAUUGGGCGUAAAGCGCGCGCAGGCGGUUCUUUAAGUCUUGUGUUUAAGCCCGGGGCUCAACCCCGGUACGCAUGGGAAACUGGGGAACUGGAGUGCAGGAGAGGGAAGCGGAAUUCCACGUGUAGCGGUGAAAUGCGUAGAGAUGUGGAGGAACACCAGUGGCGAAGGCGGCUUCCUGGCCUGUAACUGACGCUGAGGCGCGAAAGCGUGGGGAGCAAAC